ACUGCAUAAUCAGAAGGUGACUCUGCUGCUUUAUAUGGGAUUACAUCAAAGUAAGUUCAGCAUGACGGCAAAAGCAAGGUACUCUGUUACUGAAAAAACUAAUGAUCUUAAAAAAUUGCCUUCCCAUGGUGGGAAAGCAGUAACCUGCAAAGCAGCAAUAUGGAACCAUGGAAGUUUUCAGACUGAAGUUUCUAGGUGAAUUGCUGCCAAAUGCAAAUGCUGGUUGACCUUCAGGGAUAACCUCCUCAGACUGCAAGAACGGUCCAUUCCAACAUGCGUGAGAGAAGGCCAGCACAGGCGAAGAACGGAGCUCCUGGCUGAGCUCAAACACAAAAACGAAGGACACUGAAGGUAGACGAAGUGACAGGCUACUUGGGAGGACAAAGAUGUUGCUCGGUCAUGUAGGAAUGGAGCUGUGAAAGCCAAAGCUCAGCUGGCACUGAAACUAGCACAGGAGAUGAAGGCAACAAGAAAAGUUACUAUAAUUGCGCUGUUGGGAGCAGGAAGGUCAGGGAUAGUGUGGGCCCAUUGCUCAGUGGGACAGGGGACCUAGUGACAAGGGACAUGGAAAAGGCUGAGGUACCCAGUGCCUUUUUUACCUCAGUUUUCACUAUAAGGCUAAUCCUCAGACCCUGCCCAGGUGCUGGAACUGCCUAGCAAAGGCUGGGGAAUGAAGCAGUGCCCACUGCAGAGGAAGAAAGAGUUAAGGAUCACUUAACCCACUUGGACAUACCUAUUCCAAUAAAUUCUCCUUUGGUAACUGGAUAUUUUUACAGCAUUAUGCAAAGGCCAGUAAUAACAGCACCAUCACAUCAUAUCUAUUGGUGUUUAUAUGAGAAAGGAAAUAGCUACCGUAUUUAGGAAUGCUUAUUGUUUACUCAAGAGAUGCUGCUUCGCCUUUGUGUUGAAAUGUCAGCUCACUGACGUAAACCAGCUUGGAGCAGAAUUCAGCAUUGAUGUUACUUAUCAGAUAAGCAAUAAUAUGGAGGACAUGAAUUCCUUAAGAAUAAUCCUGGCUGUGUGCCUAAGGACACUGCAGAAUUUUGAAAUUCAACAUGGCAUCUGUUACGGGGGUGGGUGACUUUUUAAUUAGGUGUGCUAUUGGAUCUGGAUCAAGGCAUCACAGGAGAACCCUUGGUGAUAAAAACUGGAGCUUGAAACCUGCAGUCCCAGGGUAGACAACGAAUUUUGCCAGCACAGCAGCACUUCCGAUAAUCUAAUCUAGGUCUGCAUUUGGGGCAUAAUGAAACCACAAGGCUGAUCUUCUGCUGGUGUUAAUGAACAUAUCCCAACAGACGUCUAGCUUCAUGGAACAAAUAUCCUACUUUUAGCCACCAUAAACAACUGGGCUUUCAUAAUUUCUGAAAUACAUUUCAGCCCAAAUAUGCUGUAUGAUGUUUUGGGAGGUGAACUGCUUUCUUUUCAAGCUUGAACCUUGGGUACAAUAAAGAAUUUAAGGUUCCCCUUUUUUAGUUACUCGUUUAUCAUAUGGCAUAGUUAAAAGUCUCUUGCCUUUCUCCAUCUGAUUCCCACAUGGAGAGUGUAGCCAAAGCAGAGGCCUCUGAUACAUGUAAAUUUUAAAUAUAUUUAGGGUUAAUAUAUUAAUUAAUUAAUUAGAAAUGUUAAUAUUAGCUUGCCUUAUACCCAAAUACAAGCUUACUAAAAUGAUGUAACUAAAAACAGUAUUUUGCAAUAUUUUCAUGACAUAACCAAACACAAUAAAUAAAAACAAUUUUAGAUACAGUGCUUUCUGGACAAGUUUAGUAUUUCAGCACUUUUAUUAUAUAAUCAUAACUGGGGAAAAGACAUUAAAUUUACUUGUUGCAAAUUGAUUUUGAAGAGCUGAUGAAUUUUCAGUAUUCUUAAAAAAAAACCCUAGAUAUUUAAUGCUCUUCUCAGUAUGCAAGACUACUUAUGAGUGAAGGCUGAAAUAUCAGUCUCCAGACAUUGCUUAUAAUAUAGAUAAACAUUUAUCACAAUUAUGUGCACAUGGAGUUGUGAAACUGCAUUUUUUUGCACCUUGUGUGGUCUGAUCAAUGACAACAAAACACAUCGCAUGUAAAACAUAAAGUGGACUGUCUAUGGAUGGUGGGUUGGCAAAUAAAGCAACAGUGAUGUUCAAGCAAAAAAAUUCCACUAUUCUGAAUUGAAGGUAGAUUCCACCUCAGUAACACAGACUGCUAUUACUGGGAUGCUAUGAGGGAGUACUUCCAUAAAAGGUAACGUAUGUGAGAAAGUGAAAAUCCUGCGCUUGCAAGGACACUUAGACAACAUGGGUAAUGUAUGAUUUUUUUGCAGCAAAGUAGGUAUGAAAUGUUGGUAUGUAGAAAGAUGGUGGAAAGAAUUUGCCAUUUUCACAGCUUCUUACAUUAGUUAUUUCUAUGUCAAUUUACAUCUGGCAUCUUUGCCUACAUCUGUGUAUUCUCCAGAGUUUACAUUUAUAGAAUCUUAUCAUUUUUUUCUAGUGUAUUGGCAAAUAGAAAAUACUGGGAAAGUUAUGGUAGAUCUAGUUAUUUCCUUUUUUUAAUUACUGGUAUCUCUUUUUAUUAAAAAUAUUGAGAUAUUUGAUCCAAUGGUUUUCUUCAAAGAAAAAUCCUAUCAAAAUAAAAUAAUUUAUCCUCAA
Dromaius novaehollandiae (emu) is the source of this 2623-nucleotide long non-coding RNA. RefSeq lists it as uncharacterized. The record is from RefSeq and is a predicted model, not a curated record. The transcript has 3 exons. NCBI's taxonomy places the organism in Eukaryota, Metazoa, Chordata, Aves, Casuariiformes, Dromaiidae.